CUGAAGUCAGCCGAGACUACCCGCUGAACUUAAGCAUAUCAAUAAGCGGA
This 50-nucleotide ribosomal RNA is filed under the name Thamnostylum nigricans. RNAcentral's name for it is "partial 28S ribosomal RNA". The record is from RNAcentral. Lineage: Eukaryota; Fungi; Mucoromycota; Mucoromycetes; Mucorales; Lichtheimiaceae.